AGAGUUUGAUUCUGGCUCAGAACUAACGCUGGCGGCGUGGCUAAGACAUGCAAGUCGAACGGACUAUAUGACUGAGUAAUCAUGAUUAUAGUUAGUGGCGAAAGGGCGAGGAAUAAAUAGGUAACGUACCCCAAACAUCGGAAUAGUGUCUGGAUGCUUGCAUCCUUCCGAAAGGGGCAGUAAUACCGUAUAAUAUCUUUUGGCAUAAGUCAAAAAAUCAAAGAUUUAUCGGUUUGGGAGCGGCCUAUUUCCCAUCAGCUUGUUGGUAAGGUAAUGGCUUACCAAGGCUACGACGGGUAUCGGGACUGAGAGGUUGACCCGACGCAUCGGAACUGAGACACUGUCCGGACCUCCACGGAGGGCUGCAGUAACGAAUAUUGCACAAUGGGCGAAAGCCUGAUGCAGCAACGCCGCGUGUAGGAUGAAGCUCCUCGGAGUGUAAACUACUGUCAGGGGCUAGAAAGUGCGCUUAGGCGUAUUGAUCACCCCCAGAGGAAGUCACGGCUAACUUCGUGCCAGCAGCCGCGGUAAUACGAAGGUGGCGAGCGUUGUUCGGAAUUAUUGGGCUUAAAGAGCACGUAGGCGGAUCAGAAAGUGUCUUGUGAAAACCCCCGGCUUAACCGGGGAAUAGCUUGGCAAACUUCUAGAUCUUGAGUCAAGUAGGGGUACAUGGAACUCUUAGUGGAGCGGUGGAAUGCGUAGAUAUUAAGAGGAACGCCAAUGGUGAAGACAGUGUACUGGGCUUGUACUGACGCUGAGGUGCGAAAGCGUGGGGAGCGAACGGGAUUAGAUACCCCGGUAGUCCACGCCGUAAACGAUGUCUACUAGGUUGU
This 833-nucleotide ribosomal RNA is filed under the name uncultured Planctomycetota bacterium. RNAcentral describes it as "bacterial SSU rRNA". It matches the Rfam family "Bacterial small subunit ribosomal RNA", at positions 8 to 824 of the family's 1533-position model. The record is from RNAcentral. Lineage: Bacteria; Pseudomonadati; Planctomycetota.